Molecule: ribosomal RNA, 494 nt
Filed under: uncultured bacterium
Lineage: Bacteria
Description: bacterial SSU rRNA
Rfam family: Bacterial small subunit ribosomal RNA
Source: RNAcentral
AGAGUUUGAUCAUGGCUCAGAAUGAACGUUGGCGGCGUGGAUUAGGCAUGCAAGUCGUACGCAUAGCUUCGGCUAUGAGUGGCGCAAGGGUGAGUAAUGCGAAGGUAACCAACCCUGGUGUUGGGCAUAGCCGCGGGAAACUGCGGGUAAUUCCCAGCGACGUCACGAGAUGGCAUCAUCUUGUGACCAAAGGUGUGAUUCCGCUCUAGGACGGGCCUUCGUGGUAUUAGGUAGUUGGUGAGGUAACGGCUCACCAAGCCGACGAUGCCUACCGGGUGUGAGAGCAUGACCCGGCACACUGGAACUGAGACACUGUCCAGACACCUACGGGUGGCUGCAGUCGAGAAUCUUCGGCAAUGGGCGAAAGCCUGACCGAGCGACGCCGCGUGAGGGAUUGAAGGCCUUCGGGUUGUAAACCUCUUUCGUAGAGGAGGAAGGGGCCGUGAAGAACGGUCUUUGACCUAUUCUAGGAAGAAGCUUGGGCUAAGUUCGUG